AUGGGCAACUCCGGCGAGAUCAAGCAGCUAGAGCCGGAGUACCCGCGCCGGCCCGGCCAGCCCGACUCCUUCUGCUACGUCAAGUUCGGGAGCCGCAGGUUCAGUUCGGAGACUGGCGAGCUCAAACAGCUGGAACCGGAGUGCCCGCGGCGGCCGGGUGAUCCGGACUGCCCGAUGGGUGACUCCGCUGGUUCUGCCACACCGUCCUCCUCGAUGAAUCUCGCCAACUCGAAGGCUGGCGAGAUCAAACAGCUGCAGCCGGAGUACCCGCGGUGGCCCGGCCAGCCCGACCGCUUCUACUACCUCAAGUUCGGGAGCUGCACGUCCAAUUCGGAGGUCGGCGAGAUCAAGCAGCUGGCGCCGGAGUACCAGCCGCGGCCCAGCGAGCCGGACUGCACGAUUGGCGCCUCUUCGAUCGCCUCCUCGUCCGUCGCUUCUGCCACACCGCCCUCCUUGCUGAAUCUUGCCAAUUCGGAGACCGGCCAGAUCAAGCACCAGGAGUACCCGGGGCGGCCCGGCGAGGCCGACUGCCCGAUGAGCGACUCCUCCUCCUUGUCGUCUGUAAGCAUCACCACUUCUCCUUCAUCAGAAAACAAAAGAAAAGUAAUGAAGAAAAUCAUCACCGCUCCGACGGGUGACCUCUCCUCCGAUGGCUCUUCCGCACCGCCGCCCGAUUCGGAGACCGGCGAGAAGCAGCCGGAGCCGGGGUACCCGCUGCGGCCUGGGAAGAGCGACUGCUCGUACUACGUCAAGUUCGGAAGCUGCCGGUACGGGAUGAAUUGCUGGUUCAAUCAUCCUCUCUACAUGCAUGGUAGCCGUGUGCUUCAGCGGGAUAAUUGGGUUGGAAGGAACAGCAGCCGAGCAUCUAACUCAUCCGAGUACAACCAGUAUAUUUUCGACAAAGCAUGCACCUACAACCGCCAUGAAGGAAAAACCAAAGUCAAGCAAGUGAAGCUGAAUUUCCUUGGGCUUCCACUUCGUCCAGGUACAAAACUAUGUUCGUACUAUAUGAAUCGCGGAACCUGCAAAUUUGGCACCAGCUGUAAGUUUCACCAUCCAGAUCCAAUAUCAGAAGACGCGAUUUGGAAUGCUUCGCAGCAUACUACUCAAGGAUCAUAUCAAAUGAACCUUUCAACAAAGCAUGUCCAACGAGCACUGAAUGGGCAUUCUGUUCCCUUAGUUACAUCACCAACUAUUGGAACAUCGGAAAUUAUUCUAACUCAAGGAGUCAAUACAUGUCCAGAAUGGAGUGAAUAUCAGAUGGAUGAAAACAGGCAAGGAAAAUCAGAUUGGGAUCCUUUCACUACUAAAGUUUUUUGUGAUAUUUGUACCGAUGAGGUUUUAUCUGGCAAUCGACCAACCGACCAUUUGAAUGGUAUUGGGUAUAAGAACUUAUGCGCCAAGUUCAAUGAAAAAACAAAAAAAGGCUACAAUCACAAGCAAUUUGAAAGUAAGUGGGAGUCAUUGAAGAAAGACUACCAGACAUGGAAGGCAUUGAUGGAGACUGAAGAUGAUCUAGGGCAGGGUACUAAAAUGAAUACAAUAUCUGUAAGUCUAGAAUGGCGUGCAAAAAAGAUGGAGGAAAUCCCAGAUUGCGGAAAGUUCUGUUUUGCGCCACUCGAGAAUGUUAAUCUUCUAAAUAUAAUGUUCGAGGAUAUGGUAGAUUUACGUCCAACAGCACCUGAAGCUAAUUUGGCAGUCAAUACAACUAUCAGAAGUGAGCAAGGUGCUGGUGAUGGAAAUGAUGUAGGCAUCAUUGAUAAGUAUGUUAAUGAGCAAUCUAAAGAGGCAAUGCUACAACAAUCUUAUGAAAAAGAACCCAACUUGAUGAAAGUCAAGACAAAUUAUGUGCACGCAGGACUCAAUGAUCGUGUUAACUUUGAUGGAAAUCUGAACCCAAGCAAUUUGGCAGCGCCUAUGAGGAUCAAUCGAGUAGGAAGCAAUAUUUCUGAUAUCAUGGAGUUGGUUGUAGGUGCUGGAGCUGAGGAGGGCAGUGACGAACAUUUCAUUGCUACUCAAUUAUUUAUUAGACCUGAACAUCGAGAAAUGUUUCUUACCCUAAAGACCCCUCGAGGAAGACUUGGGUGGCUUAAAAAGAUGUGCCACCUGAAGGAUCCUACUUCAUGUGUAGCUGAUGUUUUUCUCUAA
RNAcentral lists this ribosomal RNA (2148 nucleotides) under Triticum aestivum (bread wheat). RNAcentral's name for it is "partial small subunit ribosomal RNA". Lineage: Eukaryota; Viridiplantae; Streptophyta; Magnoliopsida; Poales; Poaceae. The record is from RNAcentral.